CCAGAGCUAUGGAGUGUGACAAUGGUGUUUGUGUCCCGUCUAUCAAACGCCAUUAUCACACUAAAUAGCUCGUGUUGGGCAAUCCAUCUCUU
RNAcentral lists this microRNA precursor (92 nucleotides) under Vombatus ursinus (common wombat). RNAcentral's name for it is "microRNA 122 (ENSVURG00010004033.1)". The stretch from base 2 to 74 matches the Rfam family "mir-122 microRNA precursor family". From Rfam's summary of the family: In mammals, miR-122 is enriched in liver cells where it has been implicated as a regulator of fatty-acid metabolism in mouse studies. The hairpin precursors (represented here) are predicted based on base pairing and cross-species conservation -- their extents are not known. Lineage: Eukaryota; Metazoa; Chordata; Mammalia; Diprotodontia; Vombatidae. The record is from RNAcentral.